GCCGACGUGGUGGAACUGGUAGACACGCUACUUUGAGGGGGUAGUGGGAGUAAUCCCGUGGGAGUUCGAGUCUCCCCGUCGGCA
RNAcentral lists this transfer RNA (84 nucleotides) under Deltaproteobacteria bacterium. Its description in RNAcentral is "tRNA-Leu". It matches the Rfam family "tRNA". Rfam says of the family: Transfer RNA (tRNA) molecules are approximately 80 nucleotides in length. Lineage: Bacteria; Pseudomonadati; Myxococcota; Myxococcia. The record is from RNAcentral.